Molecule: ribosomal RNA, 381 nt
Filed under: uncultured bacterium
Lineage: Bacteria
Description: bacterial SSU rRNA
Rfam family: Bacterial small subunit ribosomal RNA
Source: RNAcentral
ACCGAAUAGAUACCCCAGGUAGUCCACGCCCUAAACCUAUGCGAACUGGAUGUUGGGUACAUUACGGUACUCAGUGUCGAAAGCUAAACGCGUUAAGUUCGCCGCCUGGGGAGUACGGUCGCAAGACUGAAACUCAAAGGAAUUGACGGGGGCCCGGCACAAGCGGUGGAGUAUGUGGUUUAAUUCGAUGCAACGCGAAGAACCUUACCUGGCCUUGACAUCUGUCGAAUCCUGCAGAGAUGCGGGAGUGCCGCAAGGAACGACAAGACAGGUGCUGCAUGGCUGUCGUCAGCUCGUGUCGUGAGAUGUUGGGUUAAGUUCCCGCAACGAGCGCAACCCUUGUCCCUAGUUGCCAGCACAUCAUGGUGGGUAACUCUAGGG